Molecule: ribosomal RNA, 451 nt
Filed under: uncultured soil bacterium
Lineage: Bacteria
Description: bacterial SSU rRNA
Rfam family: Bacterial small subunit ribosomal RNA
Source: RNAcentral
UAGAGGUGCUGCAUGCUGUCGUCAGCUCGUGUCGUGAGAUGUUGGGUUAAGUCCCGCAACGAGCGCAACCCCUAUCCUUAGUUACCAUCGGGUCAAGCCGGGGACUCUAAGGAGACUGCCCCGGAAAACGGGGAGGAAGGUGGGGAUGACGUCAAGUCCUCAUGGCCUCUAUGUCCCGGGCCACACACGUGCUACAAUGGUCGGUACAAAGGGUUGCAAUACCGCGAGGUGGAGCUAAUCCCAGAAAACCGCUCCCAGUUCGGAUUGGAGUCUGCAACUCGACUCCAUGAAGGUGGAAUCGCUAGUAAUCGCGGAUCAGCACGCCGCGGUGAAUACGUUCCCGGGCCUUGUACACACCGCCCGUCACAUCACGAAAGUCGGCUGCACUUGAAGUCGCCGCGCUAACCCGCAAGGGAGGCAGGCGCCGAUGGUGUGGUCGAUGAUUGGGGUG